AUGUACAGAGCUGAAGCGGUAGCCCAGGGAGGAGAGGACUGCGUGUUUUUUCUUGGCGGGGGAGUUGUGCACCCUGUAGUCUGUUGUGUUGUGGGAAGAUCAGCCCAUGUUCUGUCGGUUGCCAUAGCCCCUAGGGUGGGUGUCCUUCCAGUCAUCCCACUCCCGGGCUCUGUGGAGUGUUUGUUCAUCAUUCUCUCCCUCCUUUACUUGUUGAUCUUCCUGUUGCUGAGCUGCUUUUCUGAAUUCCUCUGGUGUUGCCUUGGCUAUUCCCUGAUCCGACUUUCAGGAUUAAGCGAUUCCUGGCCAAGAAACGAAAGCGAAAUCAUCCCAUUCCCCAGUGGAUUCGAAUGAAAACUGGAAAUAAAAUCAGUUUUCAUUCCGGCAGCCACCAGGGGAUCUGACAGAGCAGGUGCACCAAGCAGGGGAAGUUCCUGAAAGUGGAGGAGAAAUAGUCUGAGAGAGAACGUAGAAG
This 472-nucleotide long non-coding RNA is filed under the name Macaca mulatta (Rhesus monkey). RNAcentral describes it as "lncRNA (ENSMMUG00000059198.1)". The record is from RNAcentral. Lineage: Eukaryota; Metazoa; Chordata; Mammalia; Primates; Cercopithecidae.